GCACUGCUGAAGAGUCCCGCAAUAGGACGAAACGGCCGUCCAGUGC
Schistosoma margrebowiei is the source of this 46-nucleotide non-coding RNA. NCBI's taxonomy places the organism in Eukaryota, Metazoa, Platyhelminthes, Trematoda, Strigeidida, Schistosomatidae. The record is from Rfam.